RNAcentral lists this ribosomal RNA (253 nucleotides) under uncultured bacterium. Its description in RNAcentral is "partial 16S ribosomal RNA". It matches the Rfam family "Bacterial small subunit ribosomal RNA", at positions 524 to 776 of the family's 1533-position model. The record is from RNAcentral.
UACGUAGGGUGCAAGCGUUAAUCGGAAUUACCGGGCGUAAAGCGUGCGCAGGCGGCUAUGCAAGACAGAUGUGAAAUCCCCGGGCUCAACCUGGGAACUGCAUUUGUGACUGCAUGGCUAGAGUACGGUAGAGGGGGAUGGAAUUCCGCGUGUAGCAGUGAAAUGCGUAGAUAUCCGGAAGAACACCUGAGGCGAAGGCGGCUUGCUGGGCAUGAUCUGACGCUGAGGCGCGAAAGCGUGGGGAGCAAACAGG